RNAcentral lists this small RNA (284 nucleotides) under Tetranychus urticae (two-spotted spider mite). RNAcentral describes it as "sRNA tetur20g03477". The record is from RNAcentral. Lineage: Eukaryota; Metazoa; Arthropoda; Arachnida; Trombidiformes; Tetranychidae.
UGGUUGGAGUACGUGGAGGCUCUAAUAAGAUGAUUCCAAAAACAUUUUUCGUUUUUCCAGGAUAAAUUUUACCCUCAACUCUGUAAGCAACUUUUUCACACUCAUUUGCGUAAAAUUUUUGGGUGCAAUGUUUCAAAAUUUCAUCUGGUAUUUCAUCGUUAUAAUUUCCGUCUAAAUCUGUUGUAGGUUUAAAUCCCAAAUUGGAAGGAUACUUUCCCCAUUCAUAAACCAUAGUUGGAACCAGAAAAGGAUUUUUCUGUUUAAGCGAUGAAUUGAGUAAACAU